Molecule: long non-coding RNA, 1545 nt
Filed under: Lactuca sativa (garden lettuce)
Lineage: Eukaryota; Viridiplantae; Streptophyta; Magnoliopsida; Asterales; Asteraceae
Description: long non-coding RNA (LSAT_LNC002045)
Source: RNAcentral
AUUCCAUAUAAGACACUAAGAUUUCAGAGAAAGUAUAAAGAGACAAUGUUAUUGCAAAAUAGAAGUUUAAUAAAAUGGCUAAUAUAGAUAACAAAAAAAAAAAUUAAGCUUUCAAAUACAUCAUUAGUAUCACUUUCAACCAAAAAUCAUUAAAAAAACCCAAGGAUGCGAUAAAGAUUCAGGUUUCUUUGUACACAAUCUUGACCUUGAACAUGAGUGCAUCUGCAAAGAGAGAUGUGCAUAAACAUACAUGGCUAUUUCCAUCAAGGUCGACAACUGAAAAUACAGGUACAUAUUGCACACGCUAUAACCAAGAAUAUUGUUUAUAAUAGAUACAUACCUGAUGAAGGAUAACACAGAUUAAUAGGAGGCAACAUAUCAGACCAAAUGGCUUUACAUUGAAGCCGUAAUCCUAAUCAGUUUGCAUCCACCUUUCGGGUCACUGGAAACUACUUCUUAUAACUGAAACCAAUAUAGGGAGAUGGAUGUUGGGACAUACCACAUACAACAAGGAAGAUAUAUACCAUCAUAAUCUUGUGUAUCAUCUUCCCCUUUUGCUAGGUCUCCAUAAUCUGUUUAUUUAUCGUAUAAUUCAUAUCUCACCUGAAAGUCCAAUUAAAGAGAUUUCCAAAGAAAAUACAUUAGAAAAAGUGAAAAUGAAUGUAAGAACACAAAAUAAACUCUAAAAUAAAUUGUAUACCCAGUUAGCUAGGGUUUGACCAAGAUUUUUUGAUCACCAAAUUCCAAGUAUUCUUCUUCAUUUAAGUUUACUAUUCCGUGGUUACAUAUCUGGAUUGAAGCAUUUAAAAAAGUAGUAACAGUCAUGUGAACUAUUGAAAACAGAAGGAGACGGGCAGUAGGGUUUGGGAAAAGGGUAGCCAUGGAUGACAUGACAUCGAUCAGUAAUAAAGAAGCCAUAGGAAGGGUGAGACUAUGUAGAUAUGAGAAUUUUUCAAUAUUUGGGCUAAUAAAAGGGAAAGUGAAGGUUAUAGGAGAAUGAACCAUCAAAACUACAGAAUAAAAGUUAAAAGCAGCCAAUCAUAUAAAUUUAACGUGGGAAAUGGUUAAGACAGAAGAAAAACAUACCUUGUAGCUCUCGAACACAAAGAGGAAGUCAGUGAUAAAGCCACGAAGCAGAUGAACAAAACCUAUAUACCGUGAAAACCUAAAUAAAAAACAAGCACGCAUAGAUCGGUAAAACUUAAAUCGCUCAAACAAGGGCCCUAAUUUCAACUAAGAUGAUAAAGAUUAGAUUUUGGAGAAGGGAAAAGGUGAUCACCUCGAACCAAGAUUAGUGGGUGCGGAUUCAUCGUUUCCAGAGACCGUGGGCGUGAUUUCUUCGUUGUCAUAGACGAUUGUGGUCUUCCAAUAAGGAAUAAAGAGAAAACAUGAAGAUUUGACUGAUGUAGGGCAUAGAAGGUAGGGAAGAUGGAGCGGUGGGUAAUGGGAGAGAAAUUAGGGAAGAUUGGACUGAUAUUGUUGGCGAAUAGUAUUAUUACCAUAUAAAUUUCAAUACGGUUUUCUUGAAGCAUUUUAAGAUUGUAC